Molecule: transfer RNA, 77 nt
Filed under: Candidatus Thorarchaeota archaeon
Lineage: Archaea; Promethearchaeati; Candidatus Thorarchaeota
Description: tRNA-Arg
Rfam family: tRNA
About the family: Transfer RNA (tRNA) molecules are approximately 80 nucleotides in length. Their secondary structure includes four short double-helical elements and three loops (D, anti-codon, and T loops).
Source: RNAcentral
GCGCCCGUAGCUCAGGGGAUUAGAGCACAACGCUACGAACGUUGGGGUCGUGGGUUCAAAUCCUGCCGGGCGCACCA